This 11492-nucleotide long non-coding RNA is filed under the name Zostera marina. RNAcentral describes it as "long non-coding RNA (ZMAR_LNC001595)". Lineage: Eukaryota; Viridiplantae; Streptophyta; Magnoliopsida; Alismatales; Zosteraceae. The record is from RNAcentral.
ACCUUGUGGAUUAAGAUUGUAAUUAGGAUUUAAAUCAACAUGAUUAAAAUAUAAUACUGUAUCGACAAUUUAGGUUCUACAGUCUAAACUUGACUAAACUCGAGUAUGACAUAACAGAACAAUCAUGUAAUCAAGCAAAUAUAUUAACCCCAAAAAAAACAUACAAUUCCAAUGAUUUAAGUACUUAUAGUAAUCAAAUACUAACUAAUUAACCAAUCUUGACUUAAGAUCAAGAUAUUAGUUACCCAAUUAACUAUAGUUAACUAUUGUAAACUGAAGUGAAUUGGAUUAUACUAGAAUGAGUUGCCUUUUACAAUUCCUAUCUAUCUCUAUUUAUACUAAUUAUUCUCUAACUGAUAGUUGUUAGAGUGACAACCUUUUACUUAUUAACACACCCCCUCAAUCUUGGGAGAGUUAUCUAACAAGAUUGUUUCUUUGAUCAAUGAAUAAUACUGGCUUUAACGCUUUGGUCAAUAUGUCUGCUUUCUGAUGUGCUACUGAUAUAUGUGAUACAUUUAUUGUUCCUGCCUCUACUCUUUCUUGAACAUACUUCAAGUCGAUGGCUACAUGUUUUAGUUUUGUGUGACAUACUGAGUUUGAAGCCACAUAUGUUGCACCCAAAUUGUCGGAUCUGAGUGUCAUUGGUAACCGUGCUUCAAUACCUAAUUCCAACAGUAGGUUUCGUACCCAUUCAAGUUCCGUAAUCGUUGUGGCAAUUGCUCUGUAUUCUGACUCCGUACUUGAUCUUGCCACGGUGUUUUAUUUUCUAGAGGUCCAUGCAAUCAGUGAUUCGCAUACGUAGAUGAGAUACCCUGUUUGACUUUUGCGGCAUCACUGUCCCCUCCCCAAUCUGCAUCACAGUAUCCGAUGAUUGUAAAUGACGUUGUUUUUCGUAAAAUUAGGCCAUGCUUCCGCGUUCCAGACAGAUAUUGUAAUACUUUCUGCAUUGCUAAUAAGUGUACAGGUUUUGGAGAUGCCAUGUAUUGAGACAAUUUAUUUACUGCAAAUUGUAUAUCUGGUCUCAUGAUGGUGAGGUACUGAAGUGAUCCAACGAUCCGUCUGUACUCUUUGUCUUCUUUGAUUGGUUGCUCAUCCGAGUGUAAGUCUUGAUUUGUUAUCAUCGGUGUGUUUGAGGUUUUGGAUUUUUCUAUUCCACAGCUAGCUCUUGAGUAGAUUUCUCAAGUAUUGUGUUUGAUUCAGGUGUAAUCCGAGCUUAUCCUUUUUUACAUGAAUGCCUAGGAACAGCGAUGCUUCACCCAGACGUCUGAGUGCAAAUUCGUCUUCUAAUAUGUCUAUCAUCUUUUCAACCUAUGUAUUGUCUGAACCUGUAAUUAUCAUAUCAUCAACAGAUAUAUCGUAUGUUUUACAGUUGAUAGAAUGAACAAUGAUGGAUAUGAACUUCCUUGAGUAAUCCCUUGUCUUAGCAGAAAUUCUUUUACUUUCUUGUACCACAUGCGUGGUGCCUGUUUGAGGCCGCAGAGUGCUUUAUUUAAUAGGCAUACGUGAUUUGGUCGGUCUGGAUCAACAAACCCCAUUGGUUGUGACACAACUACCCUUUUUUCGAUUUCUCCGUGAAGAAAUGAAUUGGAUAUGUCGAUUUGCAUGAUCUUCCAUCCUCUUGUGACUGCUAUCGUGAGUACUAGCCUGAUUGAUACUAGUUUGACUACGGGGUUGUACGUCUGAUUGUACUCCGUUCCUUCUAUUUGACGAAGUCCGUUAGCUACUAAUCUUGCUUUGAGUCUCUCAAUGCUUCCAUCUUCUUUCUGUUUGAUUUUGAAGAUCCAGAUUGAGUUAAUCACAUUGUCAUUCGAGGUGUGAGGGAUCAGUGUCCAGGUGUUGUUUUUCAACAGUGCCAUAUAUUCCUCUUUCAUUGCUUCCUUUCAUGCUGGGACUAGUAACGCCUGUUUUGGUGAUUUUGGAAGCCCAACUGGUCUUGUGGUGCUUAUGCAUGGAUAUUUAAGAUUUGGUUUGAUAAUCCCGUAUUUUGACCUGGUGUAUGGCGGUGAAAUUACGGAUGUUUGCUCAACGAUUGGUUCUUGAUUUUGCUCGAUUUCGGACUGUGUUGGACUUGGCUCUUCAAUUGACAUAUUCAAUUCUGAAGUGUCUGAAUUUGUUGCGUGUUCGGCUGAGUCUUGAGUGGUUUGUUUUUCAAGAUCAUGAUUUGCUUCUUCAGAUAGUGAAUCUCCAGUCUCAGGUUCUUGUGUACUUGUUGUUGGAUCGUGAUCCGAGGCUAUAAGGGGGGAUGAUAGCCUCUUUUCGAUUUAUACAGGUUGAUUGCGGAAUUACCUGUAAAUGCUUAAUAAACAAAUGGUUGAACAGUAAUGAUAUAAGGAUAUUAUUAUAAUAAUGUAAGUAUUACUCUUCGAAGCUUACUACGGUAUAUGAAUACUGAGUCAACUUGCUUGAUAGUGUUUCACACACAACUAUAGUAUAUGAAUACUAAGUUAUAUUGGAAACAUAAAUUGUAUUGUAGAGUAAAUGACCAGAUAACUGGAUAUAUUGAUACGCAAGUAAAUGACCAGAUAACUGGAUAUAUUGACAAAUAAGUAAGUGAUCAGAUAACUGGAUAAGUUGAUAAACAAGUAAGUGACCAGAUAACUGGAGAGAUAUGAUAAGUAAUACUUGAACAAAUAUAAGGAUUUAAAGCAAUGAAUAUAACCUCAGAUAGUUGACCAGGUAACUGGAUGAGGGAUCUGCGUAAAAUAGUCAACCUCUGUAUUUGACCAGAUAACUGGAAGAGGGAUCUUUUUAAUUAAGUGUUGUUUUUUAAGUAAAAGAUAGAACUAUAAUUAACAGAGAACAACACAAGAGAUUUAUACUGGUUCACCCAAACAAGGGCUAGUCCAGUCCCGACCAACUGCCGGAAUUCACUCGCCUAAAGGUAAUGGCAAAACCUUUCUAAGCUUUAAGGCUACUUCGCUUAGGAACCAGUCUUUUACGGGUAGACUCACACCUUAGAGUAUCAAAGGCACUCUUAAGAACCUCUAACUUUUACGGGUAAGUUAGUACCUUAGAGUAUCAAGGAACUCUUAAAAACCUCUCUAAGCUUUAAGGCUACUUCGNNNNNNNNNNNNNNNNNNNNNNNNNNNNNNNNNNNNNNNNNNNNNNNNNNNNNNNNNNNNNNNNNNNNNNNNNNNNNNNNNNNNNNNNNNNNNNNNNNNNUUACCCUUCUAUUUAUAGCCUUGGCCACUCAAUGUCCACCCUUGGAUCUUCAAUGGAUGGCUCCUUGAUUUCUCACAUAAAUCCAAGCUUUGUCUUUGAUCUUAUCUUGAAUAGUGUUUUUCUUGGAUAGAGUUUGUUGGAGAAUCUUAUCUUUGUAUAAAUUCAAACUUGAAUAGUGUUUUGUCCCCUUGGAAUAUUAUACUUUGAAUAAAGUGUCAAAAGAUAAUAAUAAUAAUAUUCAAGGUGAAAAUGCAAUUAUUCCAAAUAAUAAUAUUCAAGGUGAAAAUGCAAUUCUCCCAAUUUGACUUUUAACUUUGACUUAAACCCUUAACUCAAAUGAUUAAUUAAUUAACUGGAGUUAGGUUUAAUAUCGAUUGACUUAUUUAACCCCUAUUGAUUAAUAGUGUAAUUAGGGUUUAAAUUGACAUGAUUAAAAUAUAAUCCUAUGUCGACAAUUUUGAUUCUACAUUCUCCCCCUUUGUCGAUGGCAUAUAUGUUUUAACUCAUGUCUAGUCAAUAUUCUAUUUUACCCUUAUGAGCAUGCUCCCCCUGAAUUAUUGACCCAUAAUAUUAAAUUUAAAAGCAGUGGAUCAUGCAUGAUUUCUCCCCCUUAAAACAAUAUGGUAUCGACAAAGUUAAAAAUAGAUACCUAUGAAGUAUCUCCCCUUUAAUGAUAGGAUAUCUAAUUUGUGGAGAAAAUAAAAUUUCAUACCUCAUUGAGCUUUAAUCACAAAUUCGAUUUGUGUGGUUGACCAAAUGUGACGUCUUGCUUAUAAGAGUGUUAGUCAAUCAUAUAGAAGAAAUAACAUGUAAUUUAUGCUCAUUGAUAAACUAUUGGAUUGAAGCCAAUUUUGAUAUACAUUAUAAGGCAAGUAUGAUAUGAUAAUUUAGAUUGCCUUGUGCUAAGAUCAUGCGAUGAAUAAUAAUCCAUGUGUGUGUUAUGGAUGAAGAUGAUCUUAACAUGUAUGGAUUAAAGAUUUUAUAAUGUUAUAAUCCAUAAGAUAUUAGUGAAUGAUAAGUAUAAAUCCAUAAUAUUUACUAAUUGCUUUAAGGAGAAAUUGAGCAUUUAAAAUUUUAAAAUCUAUGUCUUAGUGACAAAUAUAAUCAUGUAAAUAUUCACUAAGUUUUAAAAGAUUUAAAAUUUUCAUUUCAGUCCUUAAAGCCUUAGUAGUAAAACUUCACUUAAAACAAAAUUUCAUUUAAGCCCUUUGAAGUUAUAAUAAAUACUUAGAUUAAUACUUGAAAUAUUUCAUUUAAACCUUGGAAGUAUUAACUAAUUCUAAGCACUUUUCAAUUUGAAAACUUCAUGUAAAUAUUAAUUUUAAGUCCCUGAAGUUUUAACUAAAUAUUUAUUCACUGUAAAGAUAUCAUUUUGACCCUUAAGUUUUAGUGAAUCUAUUAAAACUUAAAAACUUCAUAAACGAUUUACGUUUAAGUCCUUGAAGUUUCACAAAACUUUAUAUUCACUGAAAAAUAUAAUUUUAAUCCUUAAGUUUCAGUGAAUCAUUUUAAACUUCAAAACUAUUUUAUGUUUAAUCCCUUGAAGUUUUAGAGUUCAAGACUUUGAAAAGUCGAUUAAUACUUCAAAAGAAUUUUAAUUUUAUACCUUGAAGUAUUAACUAAUGUCCAUGCAGCCCUCAAAUUUUUGAUAUUGCUAAUAUUAUGUUUUUCUUUAUGCAUGCAUACCCUUAUGUUGAUAAGCUUAGAUGAUUAAAAUCAUAAAACGAUUUUUCAUUUCAACAGAAGAGGUGAUACAUAACAGGAUUAAUCUCAUAUUCAAUGAGACUACGAUCCAUGAAUGGAUCUUCAAAAUAACAGAAAAACAGACACAAAAUACAAGUACUCAAAACAUCAAAAUACUUCUUAGGGCAGAUGUAGUUCAGUCAUGGUGGUGCAUGGUUGGGAUGACUUUGGAGCUAAACUCAUGAAAUAGGUUAGCCAACUCCAGGUUAUAUUCUCUCUCAACAUCUAGCUGUUGCCUUGUUAUGGAAACCAUCUCUUCCAGAUCUCCCAUUCCUUUCUCCAACAUCCUCACUUGAUGUCGAACCCUUAUGAUUUCCUCAUUCAAAAACACAUUAGUGUUUGGUGAGUUUGGAUCAUAAGUGUUUCUCCAAGUCUUUUGGAAGGAGCUUGCAGUGAAUGGUUGAAUGUGAGAUAUGAUUGGAUGUGGAUAGAGUGGAAUUCCAAAGUACUCUGGACUGAGGAUUUUGGAGAGCAUCCUUGGGUAGUGACGUGCUCCAGUACUCCUUGUUGAUGUUGUCAUGUUAUGCAUGAUUAAGGAUGUCCAGUUUACCCUGAUUUUUGACAGUAAACAAUAGAUUGCUACUAAGACCAAUGUGGAUGGUUCUUCUUUAUCGUCAGCUUGAGGAUAAAUGUUGCACAGGAUUACUUUGAGGAAGAUGGAGGCUUCUGGUAUGAGCAUUGAUUUCAAGAUUUUAUCAGUGCUUCUAGGGUUAUACCUAUGAGUAAGAGUGUUCCAGAGAAUCUCCCAAUCGCACUUGAAGGGUAGCUCUCUAAGAUUUUUAUAAUUUUGAAUUUUUACUCCAUCGUUUGGUAGGUUAAUCCAUGUACUCAGUUUAUCAGCUUCGAGAAUCAGACAUAUUCCAUUCACCAUGGUUGUAAUCCUUUGUAUGCCUAUAGUGUUAUACUUGAGAUUGGCAUAGAACUGAGCCAGCUCUGAUUUGUAGAUCCUGAGUUGUCCGAUGUUCUCAAGAUAAUCAGAAAGUCUGUUAAAAUUUAACAGGCCUUCGAUCACUUUGCAGUUGAGAGAUCUAAGCAGGACUGGUUCUUCAAAGAUCAUCCUUUGCUCGAGAAUGAGGUUGUAAGAUAACCUUGCCGUUGGAGAGAUCCAUGUUCGUGUUCCUUGGAACAUUUCUGAUACUGGAAUCUUUCUGGUGCGUUUCUUCCGGAUAACGUUGCUGCUUGAAGGAUUGGGGUUGUAUACCGGACUGGAAGGACAGUCUGGUAUGAUUGUUAGUUCCUUCUUCUCAGGAUUGAUUUCUUGAAUCAACAUCCUUGGGACAGACUGGUGUUAGGAAGAGGAAGAAGAUAUGUAUUUGAUUGUUCUUCCUAUCCUUUUAUAGUGAGAUAUUCUACCUUUUGGCAGAUCAUGUCUGUCCGGAUUCUGAAUUAACAGAUAUUACUUGUAAAGCUGUACAAGCUUUAAGUCAUGUCUACCCGUGAAGAGUUGGCAACUUAGGGUUUGUUUUUCAAUACUCCAUGACACAAGUCUUGGAGAGUCAAAUCAUUUAGAUUUAUCUAGAGAUUUGUUUAAUAGAUCUAAGUUAAGAUUUGUUUUAAAAAACUAUUUAUUUAACUAUUUAGAUCAUACCUUUUUAGUAGUUCAACACAACUCUUACACUCUCCAUGCCUUUAGACUUUUGUAGCCGAUGUUUUCAACUUCUGCAGACGAAGAUUGAUGUGUGCAGGUGCAGGAUUUGUCUUCUGUCAGCACUUCUUGCGAGGUGUUUCUUUGCAGGUCAUUCUCUGGUAAUAGAGUUGCCGGAUGUCGCAAGUGAUUGAUGGUUGCAGAUGAGUUGCUGGCUUUUUCAGCAAUGAGAGUUUCAAAACAUACCUUAUUUGUUUUGAGUUUCCAAGGCAUGGUGUGGCUUACCAACAUCAUUUAGAUAAGAUUAAUAUAGCAGAAUGGAUUUAGCAAUAUGUUGUACUCAGAUGAUGUUGCAUAGUUGACUAGUUUGCAUUUAGAGGACUCUUCUAAACAUGCAGAUGAUCAGUGAUAAGUAAGAUUUAAAAUAUAAGCAACAUGUUCAUCUUGUAUGUAUAAUCGUGGCAUAUAAUGAGUUGUUUUGAAAUUUUCAUGCAUGUAUUGCACAUCUCAUAUGUAGGUAGAUUCAUUUUACUUUGCAUGCAUACUAUAUGUAUUUAUCAAAAGAUUAUAAGCAUACAGAUGGUUUGUAAUACGUAAAACAGGCAUGUAUAGGAUUAGUUUCAUGAAUUGAUUAUGAGUUAGCUAGUUUAGUAAAGAAAUAUUCAUGUUUAUGAUUGUAUGUCAUCAUAUAGUUUUUUAACUAGUAUUAAAAAGAUGGCAUCAUUCAAAGAUAAUCAACUGUUUGGUAGGUGAUUGUAUGUAAGCAUGAUGAGUGCAUAUGAUAUGUAUGAAUCAACGAGUUGAAUAAUGAAAGUACAAUCACAUAGUAUAUAACUGAUUGUUUCAGAUGAUUAUGUAGUUGAAUAUUUCAUAGGAGAUUUUAUAAACCAAGCAUUUAUCAGAUCAUAUAUUUUAUAGAAGCAUAUAAAUCAAUGUGUAGGCAUGUAUUAACGUGAUUGAUAUAUAUAUGAUAGACAUGCAUUUAGAUGUCUAUUGAGUUAUGUGCGUGUAGAGCUUAGCAUGUGAAUGAUAAAAGCAUGUAUGUUUAUAUAGCAUUAGAUCAUGUUAAGUUCAUAUGCACAUAGAUCUACUUAGGCUUUAUUUGAGAUACAAAGCAAUCUAGGACAUAGUUGCCUUGUAUAGAUGAUUUUGUUUGUAUGCUAAUGUGUUGAUCUCCAAUGAUUUGUUCUGCGGAGUCUGAGUUUCUGAGAUUCCUAUUUGAUGGAAGUUCAGAGAUGAUUGUUUCUUGAUCAUCUCUUUCUAUGGGAGUGUCAGAUGGUAUUUGUUGAAUGACUUUAAUUCCUCCUUCUGUGUUUGGAACAGAGAUGGACUCAUCAAAGUCAACGUGUAGGGAUUCUAUCAAUGUUUGUCUUUCUUUGAGAAGGACUCUAUAUGCCUUGCUCCUUUUUGAGUAUCCAACCAGGAUUCCUUCAUCAGAUUUUUGUGCUGAUUUAUCUUGGUUUCCCCUUGUUGUGAGAACAUAGCACUUACUCCCAAAUACUUUAAAGAAUGAAACUUUGGGUUUUCUGUUAUUCCAAAGUUCAUAGGGAGUUUUGUUUAAGGUUUUUCUAAUGAUUACCUUAUUGAGAGUGUAACAGGCAGUGCUUAUAGCUUCUGCCCAUAGAUAUUGAGGGGAGUCAUGUUCUUGUAACAUAGACUUACUCAUUUCUUGAAGAGUACGAUUUUUUCUUUCUACUAUUCCAUUUUGAGGUGGAGCUUGAGAAACAGCAAAUUCAUGCUUUAUCCCAUUGGAUAUACAGUACUCUUCAAAGUCAGAGUUUUCAAAUUCUCCUCCAUGAUCACUUCUGAUUUUUAUGAUAGAUGAACCUUUUUCAUUCUGUACUAGGGUACAAAAUUUAGAAAAUUCACCAAAGGUUUCACUUUUGUUUCUUAGAAAGAACACCCAUGUAUAGUGGGAAUAAUCAUCAAUGAUUACAUAGGUGAACCUUUUUCCUCCAAGACUUUGGAUUUGGGUUGGCCCAAAUAAGUCCAUGUGAAGAAGCUCUAAGGGUCUAGAAGUGGUUAUUUUUGUGAGGGAUUUAAGUGAGCUUUUGUGUUGCUUUCCUUUUUGACAAGCAUCACAGAUAUUACUUUUUUCAUAAGCUAUUUUAGGCAACCCGGUUACUAAUUCUUCUUUAGAUAAUCUAGAUAGCUUUGAGUAGCUGGUGUGACCUAGUCGUCUAUGCCACAGAACUUUCUCAUCACUUGCAGCAAGCAUGCAGAAGUCAUGAGUUGGUUUAGAUUUAUCAAAGUUUAUAGAAUAAGCAUUGCUUUUUCUAUAUCCUCUGGGAAUGAUAACUCCCUCAGAGUUAGUGAUAGAACAAUUGUAUUUUUCAAAUUUUACUACACACCCGAUAUCACAUAAUUGACUUAUGCUAAUCAGGUUGUGUUUUAGACCAUUUACUAAGUAUACAUUUCUUAAGAAUGGUUUUUCUGUAUUUCCUACAUUACCCCUACCUACUAUUGUACCUUCAUUGUUAUCGGCGAACUUAACCUUUUUAGUAGUAGGUAAGUCUAUCAAGUCGGUUAGUAGACUUGAUUCCCCGGUCAUGUGUCUUGUGCAUCCACUGUCGAACAUCCAUUUUGGCACAUGCUUUUCCUGAAAAAGUUGAAAGAUCCUUUGGUACCCAUACUGAGUUGGGUCCGGAUGAAUUAAAUACUUAAUCUGCUUAUAGUUUCGUAACUCAUCUUUAGACAUCCAUCUUUGCUUUGGAUGAUUCAUCUUAAAAUGAUUUUUCUUUUUCUUAAGAUGAAUGAAUUUUGUAUUCCUAGAAUAAUUAUUAUAUAUUGAAGCAUGCAAAGGUUUUGUAUGACUAGAUUCCCUUACAAAAUGAUCAUUAAAAGUUAUGGCAUUUAAGGUUUUGUUAAUAGGUGUAUUUGACUCAAACCCUAAGCCAAAUUUCUUUUGACCUAAGUUCGAGCCUUGCAACAUAUUAUUUAACUUGGAUGAACUAUUGAAGAAUUUUUGAAGAACACUAUUUUUCUCAUUUAUUCUUUUAAUUUGUAAUUGCAUGCUAUUAUGUUUUUCAGAUAAUUUUUGUAAAGUUUCUUCAUGCUCAAGUAUGAGUUUAUCCUUAGAUUUUAUUUCAGUUUUAAGCAUGAUUGUUUCUUUUUCUUUAUUUCUAAUGAUUUCCUCAAAAUUAUCUAUUUUUAAUUCUAACAAUUCAACCAUAUCAUCAUUUAUUUCAUUGGGUUGAUUUUCUUCAGAUUCUAGAAGUAAUUCAAAAUUUUGACUCUUAAGUGUUUUAAUUUUUUCAUCUCCCUUUUUUAUUUUACUUGAGAGUUUAUGAUUUUCUUCUUUUAAUAACAUGCAUUCUUUUUGUGAUUCUUCUAAUUCUAUUGAGUGAUCAAUAUGUGAUUUAUUCAUGCAUUCUAGUCUUAAUGAUUUACUUAAUUUUUUCUCAGCUUUAUAUUUAUCCAUUAAUUCUAGAAAUGCUUCUUCUAAUGAAUUAAAUCUAGUAUUUGUAAAGUUUACCUCAGAGUCGUUCUCAUGAGCCAUGAGGCAGUCUUCUUGAUCUGACUCAAAAUCUGACUAGUGUACUUGAUGCGCUUUUUCUUUCUUUAGUAGAGGACAUUCAGGUCUGAUGUGUCCAGAUUUGUCGCACAAGUAGCAGAUGGGCUCCUUUGGGUCUUUGUGGUUUUUACUUACUUUUCUGUCGGAAUUCUGAUGGUCUAUCCUUGAAUUUCUCUUUUCUUUCCUUUUUAUGAGAUAUCUCUUUAAAUGAUUUGUGAGCAUUGCCAAGUCAUCAUCAGAUGAUUCAUUAUCGCUUUGACUUUUGAGAGCAAUGUCCUUUUUCUCCUCUUUUGCUCUAGAGAUAAAUCUUUCCUCUUCAUAGGCCAUCAGAUUUCCGCAAAGUUCUACCACUGUGAGUUUGUUCAGAUCAUGAGAUUCUUGGAUCGCAUUCCUCUUUGAAUAGUAUUUGUUUGGAAGGCUUCUUAGAAUCUUGCUUGCUUUUUCUCAGUUACUGGAUCCCCUAGUCCAGCCAGAUCAUUGACUAUUUGUGAUAGUCGAAUGUUCAUUUCUGCGAUAGUCUCAUCUUCCCUCAUAGAGAAUCUUUCGAAUUGAGAAGUGGCAUGUAGUAGCUUAUUUUCCUUGACGUGGGAGGUUCCUUCAUGUAAAUUCUCCAAAGCUUUCCAUACCUUGUGAGCUGUAUCCAAGCAUCGAAUUCUGCUGUACUCAGAUUCAUUGAGAGCGCCAUAUAGUGCAUUCAAUGCUCUUGAGUUAUUGUUUUCCUUGAGGAUAUCCAUUGCUCCCUAAGUCUCUUCUUUGCUUGUUGGAAUCUCAUAAUCUUCCAAUAUGAUUUUCCAGACUCCAUUGUUGAUUAACUUUAAGUAUAACUUCAUCUUGUUCUUCCAGAAGUCAUACUUUACUCCAUCGAACCUGGGAGGUUUGUUCGAUGCAAGACCAGUACUGUUUUCACCAUUUGAAGCCAUAGUUGUUGUUGUAAGAUGUUAGUCUGACUUCAACGGAACUUGGCUCUGAUACCACUUGUUGGAUCGUGAUCCGAGGCUAUAAGGAGAGGUAAUAGCGUCUUUUCGAUUUAAACAGGUUGAUUGCGGAAUUACCUGUAAAUGCUUAAUAAACAAAUAGUUGAAUAGUAAUGAUAUAAGGAUAUUAUGAUUUUGAUUGAUAUAAUAAUGUAAGUAUUACUCUUCGAAGCUUACUACAGUAUAUGAAUACUGAGUCAACUUGCUUGAUAGUGUUUUACACACAACUAUAGUAUAUGAAUACUAAGUUAUAUUGAAAACACAAAUUGUAUUGUAGAGUAAAUGACCAGAUAACUGGAUAUAUUGAUACGCAAGUAAAUGACCAGAUAACUGGAUAAGUUGAUAAACAAGUAAGUGACCAGAUAACUGGAUAAAUAUGAUAAGUAAUACUUGAACAAAUAUAAAGAUUUAAAGCAAUGAAUAUAACCUCAGAUAGUUGACCAGAUAACUGGAUGAGGGAUCUGCGUAAAGUAGUCAACCUCUGUGUUUGACCAGAUAACUGGAAGAGGGAUCU